RNAcentral lists this ribosomal RNA (3020 nucleotides) under Haemophilus influenzae. Its description in RNAcentral is "bacterial LSU rRNA". It matches the Rfam family "Bacterial large subunit ribosomal RNA". The record is from RNAcentral. Lineage: Bacteria; Pseudomonadati; Pseudomonadota; Gammaproteobacteria; Pasteurellales; Pasteurellaceae.
GUUGUAUAGUUAAGUAACUAAGCGUACAAGGUGGAUGCCUUGGCAAUCAGAGGCGAAGAAGGACGUGCUAAUCUGCGAAAAGCUUGGAUGAGUCGAUAAGAGGCGUUUAAUCCAAGAUAUCCGAAUGGGGAAACCCAGUAGAUGAAGAAUCUACUAUCAACAAGUGAAUUCAUAGCUUGUUGAGGCAAACCGGGAGAACUGAAACAUCUAAGUACCCCGAGGAAAAGAAAUCAACCGAGAUUUCGUCAGUAGCGGCGAGCGAAAGCGAAAGAGCCAGUAAGUGAUAGCAGUAUAGUGAGGAGAAUGUGUUGGGAAGCACAAUCAAAGAGGGUGAUAAUCCCGUAUCUAAAAACCAUAUUGUGGUACUAAGCUAACGAGAAGUAGGGCGGGACACGUGAUAUCCUGUUUGAAGAAGGGGGGACCAUCCUCCAAGGCUAAAUACUCCUGAUUGACCGAUAGUGAACCAGUACUGUGAAGGAAAGGCGAAAAGAACCCCGGUGAGGGGAGUGAAAUAGAACCUGAAACCUUGUACGUACAAGCAGUGGGAGCCCCAUCACUUAAUCCGAUUGGAAGGUGAUGAAAAGCAACCGCACUUAAACAAUGGUAAGAGGAGCGAAGCGAGUCAAACCACCCAAAAGAAGCAGUGGGAUUAAGUGAUGGGGUGACUGCGUACCUUUUGUAUAAUGGGUCAGCGACUUAUAUUUUGUAGCGAGGUUAACUGAAUAGGGGAGCCGAAGGGAAACCGAGUCUUAACUGGGCGAGUAGUUGCAAGGUAUAGACCCGAAACCCGGUGAUCUAGCCAUGGGCAGGUUGAAGGUUGGGUAACACUAACUGGAGGACCGAACCGACUAAUGUUGAAAAAUUAGCGGAUGACUUGUGGCUGGGGGUGAAAGGCCAAUCAAACCGGGAGAUAGCUGGUUCUCCCCGAAAUCUAUUUAGGUAGAGCCUUGAGGUGACACCUUUGGGGGUAGAGCACUGUUUCGGCUAGGGGGCCAUCCCGGCUUACCAACCCGAUGCAAACUACGAAUACCAAAGAGUGAUACUCAGGAGACACACGGCGGGUGCUAACGUCCGUCGUGGAGAGGGAAACAACCCAGACCGCCAGCUAAGGUCCCCAAGUCUAUAUUAAGUGGGAAACGAAGUGGGAAGGCUUAGACAGCUAGGAUGUUGGCUUAGAAGCAGCCAUCAUUUAAAGAAAGCGUAAUAGCUCACUAGUCGAGUCGGCCUGCGCGGAAGAUGUAACGGGGCUGAAAUAUAGCACCGAAGCUGCGGCAUCAGAAUUUAUUCUGUUGGGUAGGGGAGCGUUGUGUAAGCGGAAGAAGGUUCAUCGAGAGGUGGGCUGGACGUAUCACAAGUGCGAAUGCUGACAUAAGUAACGAUAAAACGGGUGAAAAACCCGUUCGCCGGAAGACCAAGGGUUCCUGUCCAACGUUAAUCGGGGCAGGGUGAGUCGGCUCCUAAGGCGAGGCUGAAAAGCGUAGUCGAUGGGAAACAGGUUAAUAUUCCUGUACUUGGUAAAGCUGCGAUGUGGGGACGGAGUAGGUUAGGUUAUCGCACUGUUGGAUAUGUGCGUUUAAGUUGGUAGGUGGGAAGUUUAGGCAAAUCCGGGCUUCCUUAACACAGAGAGAUGAUGACGAGGCUCUACGGAGCUGAAGUAACUGAUACCACACUUCCAGGAAAAGCCACUAAGCGAAAGGCUUUACUAAACCGUACUGAAAACCGACACAGGUGGUCAGGUAGAGAAUACUCAGGCGCUUGAGAGAACUCGGGUGAAGGAACUAGGCAAAAUAGCACCGUAACUUCGGGAGAAGGUGCGCCGGCGUAGAUUGUAAGGGCUAGCCCCUGAAGGUUGAACCGGUCGAAGAUACCAGCUGGCUGCAACUGUUUAUUAAAAACACAGCACUCUGCAAACACGAAAGUGGACGUAUAGGGUGUGAUGCCUGCCCGGUGCUGGAAGGUUAAUUGAUGGUGUAAUCGCAAGAGAAGCACCUGAUCGAAGCCCCAGUAAACGGCGGCCGUAACUAUAACGGUCCUAAGGUAGCGAAAUUCCUUGUCGGGUAAGUUCCGACCUGCACGAAUGGCAUAAUGAUGGCCAGGCUGUCUCCACCCGAGACUCAGUGAAAUUGAAAUCGCCGUGAAGAUGCGGUGUACCCGCGGCUAGACGGAAAGACCCCGUGAACCUUUACUAUAGCUUGACACUGAACAUUGAAUUUUGAUGUGUAGGAUAGGUGGGAGACUUAGAAGUAGUCACGCCAGUGAUUAUGGAGUCGACCUUGAAAUACCACCCUUUAACGUUUGAUGUUCUAACGAAGAUGACGAAACGUGGUCUCGGACAGUGUCUGGUGGGUAGUUUGACUGGGGCGGUCUCCUCCCAAAGCGUAACGGAGGAGCACGAAGGUUUGCUAAUCACGGUCGGACAUCGUGAGGUUAGUGCAAUGGUAUAAGCAAGCUUAACUGCGAGACAGACAAGUCGAGCAGGUACGAAAGUAGGUCAUAGUGAUCCGGUGGUUCUGAAUGGAAGGGCCAUCGCUCAACGGAUAAAAGGUACUCCGGGGAUAACAGGCUGAUACCGCCCAAGAGUUCAUAUCGACGGCGGUGUUUGGCACCUCGAUGUCGGCUCAUCACAUCCUGGGGCUGAAGUAGGUCCCAAGGGUAUGGCUGUUCGCCAUUUAAAGUGGUACGCGAGCUGGGUUUAGAACGUCGUGAGACAGUUCGGUCCCUAUCUGCCGUGGGCGUAGGAGAAUUGGUUGGGGCUGCUCCUAGUACGAGAGGACCGGAGUGGACGCACCACUGGUGUUCCGGUUGUGUCGCCAGACGCAUUGCCGGGUAGCUAAGUGCGGAAGAGAUAAGUGCUGAAAGCAUCUAAGCACGAAACUUGCCAAGAGAUGAGUUCUCCCAAUCUAAGAGAUUGUAAGGGUUGUUGUAGACUACGACGUAGAUAGGUCUGGUGUGUAAGUGUAGUGAUGCAUUGAGCUAACAGAUACUAAUUGCCCGAGAGGCUUAACUAUACAACGCUCAAG